Pelobates cultripes (western spadefoot toad) is the source of this 1195-nucleotide non-coding RNA. Lineage: Eukaryota; Metazoa; Chordata; Amphibia; Anura; Pelobatidae. The record is from the annotation of a GenBank genome assembly.
CUCGGAAACUGUUCUUUAGAAAUCAACAGACUACAAAAGAACAGAAAAAAAAUCCCAGCACACUACUUCAUGGCAAAUACUUUUAUUGAAAGGUUUUCCUUUUUAACAAUAAUAAUCAUUGUAAUACAAUGAAAUAUACAGAAUAAAGAAUAAGAAUACAUAUAAAUCAAACAAACAAAAAGAAACAGGGGAGGAGGGGAAUAUCCCUCCAUUCUAAAAUUGAUAACGUAUGCUUUAUGAAAAACACUACAUAGUGUCAAAUAAGGUGUAAAAGCACUCCACAUGCACCGGAGAUAAAUAGUGUGCAAGCAGUUGCGUAUACAAACAGAACAAGAGUAAAAGGAGAGGCACAUAAACUACAAUCAUAAAGAGUAUUUUCGUUUGACAUUAUCGUCCCACAUGUUCCAGUGGUACCAUUUCUUUGAGUGUUCAACACUUCAUACCCAUUGAGGCAUACAUACUUGUAAAACUCAAUAAAUAAAUGGGGUGUUGAGCUGGAUAGAUUAUUUUAUUCAGCUCAUGUGGGGAGCUUGAAAACAGAAAGAUGAUAUGGGCUAAAAUAUAUUAUUAAUUAUAAAGCACCAACAGAUUCCGCAGCGCUGUACAAUGGAUGGGCUGACAGACAUGUGGUUGAAACCAGACAAGAUGGCUCCACAGAAAUAGUGUGCUUGAGGGCUUUGCUCGAUGAGCUUACAGGCUUGAGGGAGUGGGGUAUAGUGACACAAAAGGUAAGGAUAGAGUAGAAAAUUAUGGUUGCUGUAGUAAUGUGAUACCAACCAGAGUUAUUGAUUAAACUGAACAUUGUAAGCUAAAAUAGUAACGCUUUGAUUAUACAGGGAAUGUUGCCAGCUCAACUCACUACAAUUUGAUGUUUAAGGAAUAAAUCCCUACAAUACAAUACUUUUUUUUAUUUUGUUUUACCUCUACACCUCACAUUUCUUGCCCUUAUUUCCAUCAGUAACGCUAAUCUUAUGGUUAUUUGCAAGUAAAAAUAUUCUAUAUUUAAUUAAUGAGAUUUAAAAUAUUAAUAAUAAAAUAAACAUAUCAAUGUUUUAGUGCUAUUUCAGCCAUCGCUAGCCUUUCUUGUUCUUUUAUUUUUGUUAAAUCUUACACCACUAAUAUUAUGACGAACACAUAUUGCAUAGUUUUUGUCAGUAUGACAGGAUUGAAGAGACAGAGCCGAAAAGCAAGAAAC